UAUAAUGAUGACAACGUUGUCGCCCCAAACGGAGGAUCCUUUUCAGGACGCUGACCGAUUCGAUAAAUUAGCCAAACACUGAAAAUUCUGACU
Lodderomyces elongisporus NRRL YB-4239 is the source of this 93-nucleotide small nucleolar RNA. NCBI's taxonomy places the organism in Eukaryota, Fungi, Ascomycota, Pichiomycetes, Serinales, Debaryomycetaceae. The record is from Rfam.